GGUUGGCGUUCCCGUAAAAUGCCGGCGAUCCAUGAGUCUCAGGAGUCUGCAGAAUGACAUAGGGAAGAGAUCUGGGUCCAUUCCUGCGUCAUUUGGAAGCUGGGAGAGGAGAGGGAUGCUGAGAUGGAGGGAGAUAAGAAUGGAAGGACGGAAGAGAGAGGGAAGAAAGGUAUGUGGCUCGGCAAACUUGAAAGUGGUGGCGUCGCGGCGUGUUGGUUGGGGUCACUCGUGUUGGACAGGUACCUCAGCCACUCUUAAUUAUUACACGCACACCUGUGAACACCUAGACGCUAUCACUGAGCUCCACGAGGCCGCCAAGGAGUUUAAUUCUAUUUGUUUGGCAUAAAACCCAAGCGAGGAGAACAGUGCGUGGUGUAACAGCCUGCCGUGGCCAGUCGUUCAUUGCACAGAAGCUCAGGGCGCGGCGGGGUCAAUAGGAAGCACAACCAAUGCCGCGGACUCUAGGCGGGAGAGCCGAAAAUACACGCCCUUCAUCAAGCAGCCCAAGACUCUACCACCGGACCACAGUGCUACCCCCCUUCUCUUUAUUUUAGCGUUACUGCGAGAAAACAGAAAUAAAAGUUCGAAGAAGAAAGUUUAAAGUUUAUUCACAUGUAUAACAGCACCAUCAACAACCACAGCAAUAACAAGCAGUGCAGCCAACUCUUCUUCCUUUUAAA
This is a long non-coding RNA of Eriocheir sinensis (Chinese mitten crab), 680 nucleotides long. RefSeq lists it as uncharacterized. The transcript is spliced from 3 exons. Lineage: Eukaryota; Metazoa; Arthropoda; Malacostraca; Decapoda; Varunidae. The record is from RefSeq and is a predicted model, not a curated record.